AGAGUUUGAUCCUGGCUCAGGACGAACGCUGGCGGCGUGCUUAACACAUGCAAGUCGAACGGAAAGGGCCCCUCUGGGGGUACUCGAGUGGCGAACGGGUGAGUAACACGUGAGUAACCUGCCCUUGACUUCGGGAUAACUUCAGGAAACUGGGGCUAAUACCGGAUAGGAAUCCUUGCUGCAUGGUGGGGGUUGGAAAGCUUCGGCGGUUUUGGAUGGACUCGCGGCUUAUCAGCUUGUUGGUGGGGUAGUGGCUUACCAAGGCUUUGACGGGUAGCCGGCCUGAGAGGGCGACCGGCCACAUUGGGACUGAGAUACGGCCCAGACUCCUACGGGAGGCAGCAGUGGGGAAUAUUGCACAAUGGGCGGAAGCCUGAUGCAGCAACGCCGCGUGCGGGAUGACGGCCUUCGGGUUGUAAACCGCUUUCAGCAGGGGCGAAGCUUUUGUGACGGUACCUGCAGAAGAAGCACCGGCUAACUACGUGCCAGCAGCCGCGGUGAUACGUAGGGUGCGAGCGUUGUCCGGAUUUAUUGGGCGUAAAGAGCUCGUAGGUGGUUGAUUGCGUCGGAAGUGAAAACUUGGGGCUUAACCCUGAGCGUGCUUUCGAUACGGGUUGACUUGAGGAAGGUAGGGGAGAAUGGAAUUCCUGGUGGAGCGGUGGAAUGCGCAGAUAUCAGGAGGAACACCAGUGGCGAAGGCGGUUCUCUGGACCUUUCCUGACGCUGAGGAGCGAAAGCGUGGGGAGCGAACAGGCUUAGAUACCCUGGUAGUCCACGCUGUAAACGGUGGGUACUAGGUGUGGGGUCCAUUCCACGGAUUCCGUGCCGUAGCUAACGCAUUAAGUACCCCGCCUGGGGAGUACGGCCGCAAGGCUAAAACUUAAAGGAAUUGACGG
This 896-nucleotide ribosomal RNA is filed under the name uncultured bacterium. RNAcentral describes it as "bacterial SSU rRNA". It matches the Rfam family "Bacterial small subunit ribosomal RNA", at positions 8 to 916 of the family's 1533-position model. The record is from RNAcentral.